UGGGGAAUAUUGCGCAAUGGGGGAAACCCUGACGAAGCAACGCCGCGUGGAGGAUGAAGGCCUUCGGGUCGUAAACUCCUGUCGACUGGGACGAAAGUAGUCCGACCCAAUACGUCGGGCUAUCGACUGUACCGGUGGAGGAAGCCACGGCUAACUCUGUGCCAGCAGCCGCGGUAAUACAGAGGUGGCAAGCGUUGUUCGGAAUUACUGGGCGUAAAGGGCGCGUAGGCGGUCGAUUAAGUCCCGUGUGAAAUCCCUCGGCUCAACUGAGGAACUGCACGGGAAACUGGCUGACUUGAGUUCGGGAGAGGGAAGCGGAAUUCCGGGUGUAGCGGUGAAAUGCGUAGAUAUCCGGAGGAACACCGGUGGCGAAGGCGGCCCCCUGGACCCAAACUGACGCUGAGGUACGAAAGCGUGGGUAGCAAACAGGAUUAGAUACCCGCGUAGUCCCUGAGCGGGCUGGCAAGGCGCAU
Molecule: ribosomal RNA, 473 nt
Filed under: uncultured bacterium
Lineage: Bacteria
Description: bacterial SSU rRNA
Rfam family: Bacterial small subunit ribosomal RNA
Source: RNAcentral